CAGUCGCCGCGGUAAUACGUAGGUGGCAAGCGUUGUCCGGAAUUAUUGGGCGUAAAGGGCACGCAGGCGGUGACUUAAGUGAGGUGUGAAAGCCCCGGGCUUGACCUGGGAGGGUCAUCGGAAACUGGGAAACUUGAGUGCAGAAGAGGAGAGUGGAAUUCCACGUGUAGCGGUGAAAUGCGUAGAGAUAUGGAGGAACACCAGUGGCGAAGGCGACUCUCUGGUCUGUGACUGACGCUGAGGAGCGAAAGCGUGGGGAGCGAACAGGAUUAGAUACCCCCGUAGUCCCUGUCUCUUAUAC
RNAcentral lists this ribosomal RNA (301 nucleotides) under uncultured bacterium. Its description in RNAcentral is "partial 16S ribosomal RNA". It matches the Rfam family "Bacterial small subunit ribosomal RNA", at positions 509 to 807 of the family's 1533-position model. The record is from RNAcentral.